This 393-nucleotide ribosomal RNA is filed under the name uncultured bacterium. Its description in RNAcentral is "partial 16S ribosomal RNA". It matches the Rfam family "Bacterial small subunit ribosomal RNA", at positions 523 to 918 of the family's 1533-position model. The record is from RNAcentral.
AUACGGAGGAUCCGAGCGUUAUCCGGAUUUAUUGGGUUUAAAGGGAGCGUAGGCGGGAGAUCAAGUCAGCUGUGAAAUGUAGAUGCUCAACAUCUGCACUGCAGUUGAAACUGGUUUUCUUGAGUGCGUAAGGGGCAGGCGGAAUUCGUCGUGUAGCGGUGAAAUGCUUAGAUAUGACGAAGAACUCCGAUCGCGAAGGCAGCCUGCGGGGCCGCGACUGACGCUGAAGCUCGAAGGUGCGGGUAUCGAACAGGAUUAGAUACCCUGGUAGUCCGCACAGUAAACGAUGGAUACUCGCUGUCGGCGAUAUACGGUCGGUGGCCAAGCGAAAGCGUUAAGUAUCCCACCUGGGGAGUACGCCGGCAACGGUGAAACUCAAAGGAAUUGACGGGG